GAUGAAGAACGUAGCGAAAUGCGAUAAGUAAUGUGAAUUGCAGAAUUCAGUGAAUCAUCGAAUCUUUGAACGCACAUUGCGCCUGCUAGUAUUCUGGCGGGCAUGCCUGUUCGAGCGUCAUUUCAACCAUCAAGCCCUAGGCUUGCGUUGGAGCCCUGCGGCUGCCGCAGGCUCCCAAAUCCAGUGGCGGGCUCGUCGUCGUACCGAGUGCAGUAAACAUCCUCGCUCAGGGAACGUGACGGGUUCUUGCCGUGAAACCCCCCACAUAUCAAGGUUGACCUCGGAUCAGGUAGGAAUACCCGCUGAACUUAAGCAUAUCAAUAAGCGGAGGA
This 332-nucleotide unclassified non-coding RNA is filed under the name soil metagenome. RNAcentral's name for it is "partial contains 5.8S ribosomal RNA, internal transcribed spacer 2, and large subunit ribosomal RNA". The stretch from base 1 to 120 matches the Rfam family "5.8S ribosomal RNA", at positions 35 to 154 of the family's 154-position model. The record is from RNAcentral.